GCCCUUGUAGCUCAGCUGGUAGAGCGUCCUCUCUGAAUCUGUCAGCGCUUUGUAAUAUGUAUGAGGCCGUGGGUUCGACUCCCGCCUGGGCA
Molecule: non-coding RNA, 92 nt
Organism: Mycena alexandri
Lineage: Eukaryota; Fungi; Basidiomycota; Agaricomycetes; Agaricales; Mycenaceae
Source: the annotation of a GenBank genome assembly